AUGGGCAGGGGACUGGCAGCCAUGCCACAGGGGGACCCCUGCGACCCCUCUGCUCCUGGCCCGCACUCGCGAGGACCCCACUGCUGGCUCCUCCUGCUGGUGGCCUCGGGCAAGUCCCUCCACCUCUCUGGCCCUCAGCCCCUCUGCCGUGGGGUUGUGGGGGAGGAGGCCACGGGACGGGCAGGCUGCGGGCGUGUCCGUCACAGGCAGCUCACACUUCACGCAAAUCACGGCGGCUGCAGGUCGGGCGCGGAGCCCUUCCCAAGUCCCCCAGCUCGGGGGGGGGGGGGGCACAGGCCUGCCCACCACUUCCUGCCGCCGCCUCCCCUUCCUCCUCGCCCUCCGGCCGAGAGGAAACCGCCAGCCCCGGCGGACGUCCCUGCUUUCGGCUUCCUCUUUCCCACACGGGCCCGGGCAGCGCCUCAGCUUCUCCCAGCCUCAGCGCCCUUGUCUGCAGAACGGGCGCGACCCAGCAGGCUCCAGUGUGCGCCUGCGCGGGGACGGACCCCAUACCCGGCCACCGCGACCACCCCCAUUCCACAGCUAAGAACGAGGCCCAGCAAGGCCACAUCACCUGCCGUGGGCGCUCAGCGCAGGAGCAGAGAGGAGGCCGCUGUCUCCAGUGCCUGGCCACCUCCUCCCCGGGCUCCUGGGGGCCUGUGGUGCCAGCAGGGACGUGGACGGGCCCCGGGGAGUCCCCACCUCCUGUACUCCCUCGGGAAACAGGCAGGGCAGGCUAGGCCAGGACCACCAAGUCCUCCAUGCCACGGAAGGGCUCUGGCCAGGCCCCUGGGCACAGGACUAUGUGGCUAUGGGCGCCCCGACAGAUGCCUCCCCCAGGCGAAACUCCGCCACGGGGACGCACCAGGUACCAGGUUCCAAUCCCCUCUGGGCCACUCACAAGCAGUGUGGCCUGGAGCAAGUGGCCUAACCUCGAUGGGCCUCAGUCUCCCGAUCUGGGAAAUGGGCGUGAUCACAGCAGCUGCCCUCACAGGGCAGUGGACCUGGGCUGUAACAAAGCCCAAUUAG
This 1029-nucleotide long non-coding RNA is filed under the name Oryctolagus cuniculus (rabbit). RNAcentral's name for it is "lncRNA (ENSOCUG00000032558.1)". The record is from RNAcentral. Lineage: Eukaryota; Metazoa; Chordata; Mammalia; Lagomorpha; Leporidae.